AUUGAACGCUGGCGGCAGGCCUAACACAUGCAAGUCGAGCGGAUGAAGGGAGCUUGCUCCUGGAUUCAGCGGCGGACGGGUGAGUAAUGCCUAGGAAUCUGCCUGGUAGUGGGGGAUAACGUCCGGAAACGGGCGCUAAUACCGCAUACGUCCUGAGGGAGAAAGUGGGGGAUCUUCGGACCUCACGCUAUCAGAUGAGCCUAGGUCGGAUUAGCUAGUUGGUGGGGUAAAGGCCUACCAAGGCGACGAUCCGUAACUGGUCUGAGAGGAUGAUCAGUCACACUGGAACUGAGACACGGACCAGAGUCCUACGGGAGGCAGCAGUGGGGAAUAUUGGACAAUGGGCGAAAGCAUGAUACAGCAAUGCCGCGUGAGUGAAGAAGGUCUUCGGAUUGUAAAGCACUUUAAGUUGGGAGGAAGGGAAGUAAGUUAAUACCUUGCUGUUUUGACGUUAACAAAAGAAUAAGCACCGGCUAACUACGUG
Molecule: ribosomal RNA, 484 nt
Filed under: uncultured bacterium
Lineage: Bacteria
Description: partial 16S ribosomal RNA
Rfam family: Bacterial small subunit ribosomal RNA
Source: RNAcentral